GGAGACGUGGCAGAGCGGCCGAAUGCACCGGUCUUGAAAACCGGCGACGGGUAACCGUCCGAGGGUUCAAAUCCCUCCAUCUCCG
This 85-nucleotide transfer RNA is filed under the name Corynebacterium atypicum. RNAcentral describes it as "tRNA-Ser (TGA) (tRNA-Ser-TGA-1-1)". It matches the Rfam family "tRNA". Rfam says of the family: Transfer RNA (tRNA) molecules are approximately 80 nucleotides in length. Their secondary structure includes four short double-helical elements and three loops (D, anti-codon, and T loops). Lineage: Bacteria; Bacillati; Actinomycetota; Actinomycetes; Mycobacteriales; Corynebacteriaceae. The record is from RNAcentral.